RNAcentral lists this unclassified non-coding RNA (334 nucleotides) under Hevea brasiliensis (rubber tree). The record is from RNAcentral. Lineage: Eukaryota; Viridiplantae; Streptophyta; Magnoliopsida; Malpighiales; Euphorbiaceae.
AAAAAUGUACAAGAAUGAAAGAUAAUAUUAGGUUUUAUAUAAUCCAUAAUUAUAAUAAAAGUAUAUAAUAUAUAUGAAAAAAUCAUAUUAAAGUAUAUGCAUAAAAGCAAUUUUCCGUUCGGUUUUGAUUUGGUAUGGGUCUAGUAUAGUUCCAGUAUGAUUCUUAGUGAAAAACUAGAACCAAACCAAAACAGUCAAAUAAGUGCAAUUCUAUAUAGUUCUUCGGUUCGGCUCAAGCCCUCCAAGAACCAUGUACAACCCUAAUAAUAAGGCUACACUCAAAGUGGCUAAUAUCUAAGGAUGUUUAUAAGUGCAAUUGUGUGUGUGUGUGUGU